UACGUAGGUGGCAAGCGUUGUCCGGAAUCAUUGGGCGUAAAGCGCGCGUAGGUGGCUUGUCAGGUCCGAUGUGAAAUCCUGGGGCUCAACUCCAGGCGUGCAUUGGAAACCGGCUUGCUAGAGUCUGGGAGAGGAGAGUGGAAUUCCUGGUGUAGCGGUGAAAUGCGUAGAUAUCAGGAGGAACACCGGUAGCGAAGGCGGCUCUCUGGAACAGUACUGACACUGAGGCGCGAAAGCUAGGGGAGCGAACAGG
RNAcentral lists this ribosomal RNA (253 nucleotides) under uncultured bacterium. Its description in RNAcentral is "partial 16S ribosomal RNA". It matches the Rfam family "Bacterial small subunit ribosomal RNA", at positions 524 to 776 of the family's 1533-position model. The record is from RNAcentral.